AGUGAGACUCUGUCUCAAAAAACAAACAAAUGACAACAAAAUAAUAAAUCUUGACCCCUGCAGCAUCAGAAAGACCAGCUUCUGACUUUAUUGGCAUCAUGUUGUGCUGGCCCAGGGACCACGCAGGUUCUUGGAUCAGGAAUGUAGUUCUGAUUGCUGACCUUAGAGAACAGAUUUAGAUGUAGAAAUUCUUUCAUCCCACACGGAUUCUCCAGUCGAAGUCCCUACCCUCUCCAAGCUAGCCCCAACUCCCAAGCCCCCUUAUCUGUAUGCAGCGCCCUACCUCUGACAGGUCAUAUGCCAAUCUCUUCCUUGCCCUAACUUGGGGGACCCAGAUGGAGAACGGAGGGUCUGAGUACUAAGAGGAAUGGUUUGCACUCAAGGCACCGGGAAUGGUGCUCAGUUUUUGACCUAGGGAGAGACAAGGAGAAAUGGUAUUCUGGGAAAAUAUUUUGGCAGUGGUUUCAAGAAAGAAAUAGGAGCCAUUGGAGAUUUCUGUAGCAAUUUAAGACAGAGGCCACUGGGCAUCUGAACCAGGGUGGCAGCCUUGAGAGGGGACAGCCGUGAGAGCUGCUUCCAAGAAAAGUGCAGCACAUGUGGAGAUGGCUGGGUGUGGGUGUUUGGAGAUGA
Molecule: long non-coding RNA, 630 nt
Filed under: Pan troglodytes (chimpanzee)
Lineage: Eukaryota; Metazoa; Chordata; Mammalia; Primates; Hominidae
Description: long non-coding RNA NONPTRT005719
Source: RNAcentral